GACGAACGCUGGCGGCGUGCCUAACACAUGCAAGUCGAACGGGGUAGAGAGCUUCGGCUUUCUACUUAGUGGCGAACGGGUGAGUAACGCGUGAGAAACCUGCCUUUCAGUGGGGGACAACAGUUGGAAACGACUGCUAAUACCGCAUAAUGUUAUUUGAGGGCAUCCUCGAAUAACCAAAGCUUUAUGUGCUGAAAGAUGGUCUCGCGUCUGAUUAGCUAGUUGGCGGGGUAACGGCCCACCAAGGCGACGAUCAGUAGCCGGUCUGAGAGGAUGAACGGCCACAUUGGGACUGAGACACGGCCCAGACUCCUACGGGAGGCAGCAGUGGGGAAUAUUGGGCAAUAGGGGAAACCCUGACCCAGCAACGCCGCGUGAGGGAAGAAGGUCUUCGGAUCGUAAACCUCUGUCCUUAGUGAAGAGCAAGAGACGGUAGCUAAGGAGGAAGCCCCGGCUAACUACGUG
This 465-nucleotide ribosomal RNA is filed under the name uncultured bacterium. Its description in RNAcentral is "bacterial SSU rRNA". It matches the Rfam family "Bacterial small subunit ribosomal RNA", at positions 28 to 507 of the family's 1533-position model. The record is from RNAcentral.